This 250-nucleotide ribosomal RNA is filed under the name uncultured bacterium. RNAcentral describes it as "partial 16S ribosomal RNA". It matches the Rfam family "Bacterial small subunit ribosomal RNA", at positions 524 to 773 of the family's 1533-position model. The record is from RNAcentral.
GACGGAGGGGGCUAGCGUUGUUCGGAAUUACUGGGCGUAAAGAGCGCGUAGGCGGCUUAACAAGUUGGGAGUGAAAGCCCGGGGCUUAACCUCGGAACUGCUUUCAAAACUGUUAGGCUAGAGUAUAGUAGAGGGUGAUAGAAUUCCUAGUGUAGAGGUGAAAUUCUUAGAUAUUAGGAGGAAUACCGGUGGCGAAGGCGGUCACCUGGGCUAUUACUGACGCUGAGGCGCGAAAGCGUGGGGAGCAAAC